AACGGUUAAUACUCGUAAAUAAUAAAAUAAAUACAUAUAGUAUAUAUAUAAAUAAAGAAUUUAUAUAUAAUAAUAAAGUAAAUAAUUGAAUCAAUGCAAUCGUCAGUUAUAUUUUGGCUGUGAUAUACCUGAUGAUGAAGUUUUUAAUUUUAAUUUUUCAUAAUACUCAAGAGGACACGCAUUGAUUCAUUUAUUUAUUUUAAUCAUUAUUUAUUGAAAAAUCUAAAAUAUUUUUACCAAAUUGAAAUUUGUAAUACACGAUUAAAUUAUUUAAAUGAUUUGAUUAUAAUAUUUAAAAACAUUGUUACUGAAAUACUUAUCAAUUUAAUCGAAUGUAGGUUUAAUAAAAGAUUUAUUAAUAUAAACAAGUUAUAUUUUAUAAUUAUAAUCAUAACUAUAUGUGUAUUGAAUUUGUCAACAAACAGGUGACUAUAACUAUAACAAAUAUAUACAAAAUGUGCACACCUUUUUUUAAGCAACCGCUUGUAUUGAAGGUGUUAAGUUCUUAUUAAAUAGUUAAAACAUUAAAUUUCGAAACUAAAUUUAUAUGUACUGUGGGCACCUUUUUUUAAGCAACCGCUUGUAUUGAAGGUGUUAAGUUCUUAUUAAAUAGUUAAAACGUUAAAUUUCGAAACUAAAAUUAAAUGUACUGUAGGAACACCUUUUUUUAAGCAACCGCUUGUAUUGAAGGUGUUAAGUUCUUAUUAAAUAGUUAAAACGUUAAAUUUAGAAACUAAAAUUAAAUGCACUGUACGAAAUAAUUAUAAUAAAAUAAUUCACGAGAUGCAGUGUUAUGUGACAUCUACAAAUAGCAGUCAAAAUGUAAGAAUUAAGAUUUGUUUUUAUAUUUAUAUAUUCCGUAUAGGUAACAAAUUGCGUAGGAGUAAUAAUAUUUUGUUAAAUUAUUAUAAAAGAUGGUGUAUGUGUGUAUAAAAGAGUAUCGUGUGUGUUAACCUAUUAGUUGAUGCAUAGUUAAACUAUUAUAUUGUCGUUGAUAUAAAUUGGUUGUAUCGGUGGAUUAAUGGGCGGGGGAGAGGAGGACGUUACGGAACCUCGCUAUACAGGCCUAUGCAGGUCCGUUGUCUAAUAUCAUAAUUCUUUGUUUAUCGACAAUCGUUGCAAAAUAAUAUUUUAGUAUAGGUACUUAUACUUAUGAUAUAGACAAAGAGGGUACAAUAUAGUGCUGGGUGAUUUAGGUUAUUCGAUGGUAUGGUAACGCGCGCCGAGACACAAUUAUUUAUCAUCCCUUGUAUCGGCAGUCGCUGACAUUCUGAGACAUACGAUAUGCGUUAACCGCCCAAAUGGCGGGCGGAGUAUGGUGGGCUCGUUAAUAAUGAUUGCUAAUGGUAUGUUAUGAAAAAUAUUAUUUGGAAAAAUAAUAAUAACUUAUUAAAAUAUAUACGCUAUGUACAUGCAUAUUAUAUACGGUAUACAAAUUCGGUGUGGUGCUAAGCGCCCAACUCAUAGAGGAUCGUAAAG
Molecule: non-coding RNA, 1479 nt
Organism: Cinara cedri
Lineage: Eukaryota; Metazoa; Arthropoda; Insecta; Hemiptera; Aphididae
Source: the annotation of a GenBank genome assembly